This 1225-nucleotide long non-coding RNA is filed under the name Struthio camelus australis. Its description in RNAcentral is "lncRNA (ENSSCUG00000012694.1)". Lineage: Eukaryota; Metazoa; Chordata; Aves; Struthioniformes; Struthionidae. The record is from RNAcentral.
AUGUUUACUAUGGGAGUGUAUGACCAGUAUUUUUGGCUGUAAUGAUGCGUAAGUCUCACUUUGCUGUGACCUGGCAUUACUAAAUUUGCAAGUGGGGCUGCUAAAAUUGAAUUUUAGGAAACUGGGCAUCAUGGAUAUUCUGACGUUAGCACCUGUUCAGCACAGUACUCUGUUUCACUCAACUUCAAGUGUACUAAGUGUCAGUAAAAUCAGUGUCUUAUAUGUAUGCUCGUACAGUUGUUGAAUUACGAAAUUUUGAACACUUUGGUAAAAAAAGUUGUGCAUAUUAUUAUAUAUUGCAGACUCUCUAUUUUAAUCAGAAGCCUGAAAGUACUGAUUUGCUGUUGAUAAUCAAAUUUUGCUAUUUUUUUUUUUAGCUGGCAAAAAGGUUUUAUGUAUUCGUGGGAUCUCUUUAAGCAGUUCGAACGUUACACGCAUCUUUCUGAAUAUGCAUACUAAGUUUGGUGAGGGAAAACUGGAACUGCAAAGUUAACAGACAGCUUCUGUAGAGCCUCAGUAGGUGGAAUGUCUCACUACGAUUCUUGCUCUGGAGUUAAGAGCCUCUCGUUUUCUUUGUGACGUUUUGGAAGGUGAAAGACAGUUGGACAAAAGCAGCCAGCACAGAACUCAGAUCAAUAUGAAGGAAAGAUAUUAUCAGUCAGAGAAAACUUAUCAGAAGGAGCAACUCAUCAAAAGAGCAGAGAGGGAACCUCUUCUGACAUACUACCUACGUUUACUGGAUGCAAAAAAGAGCAGUCCCUCUGAAAGCCACCAGAGCAACUCUGUCAUUCCACGAUGCACUGACUGCUUGAGGAAAGACAUCCAAGUCCUUCAGGAUUUCAUCAGGAUGCAUGAAUCGCCUCGAGCUGUUGUUGCCCAAGAAGAAGUUUUUAUUGUCAGUGAAGUUUGUAAACCCAUGCCACCAAAGAAACAUAAACUCUCGGAAGCUGUAGACCAAAUGCAAGAACACAGGAGACCACCGGCAAGCGGGGAUUCCCCGCCAGCCCCGAGCGUACGCAGGAAGGAGUCUCUUGGUGGCAGGCCAGUGUCGGAACUUUCAAUCAGAGAGACUGAACAAAGAAAUUCGUAUCAUCUUGCGGAAGGUAAGUGUGACUGUGUGAGUCUGUGCGAGAGACGGAAAGAAAGGAAGAAGCACCAAUACAAUAUUCUGCUGUCAACCGUUGCAGGAUUCUGUACAAAAUUGUCUUUAUGGUUCACGAUGUAA